UAUCUCUGUAGAGUCUGCAUAUCAAUAAGCGGAGGAAAAGAAACUAACAAGGAUUCCCUUAGUAACGGCGAGUGAAGCGGGAAGAGCUCAAAUUUGAAAUCUUCAAGGUUCUACCUUGACGAAUUGUAGUUUAAAGAAGUGUUUUCUGUUAGAUGAGUAGCAAAAGUUCCUUGGAAUGGGACAUCAUAGAGGGUGAGAAUCCCGUAUUUGGUUAUUCAUUCUAGCUUUGUGAUACACUUUCAAAGAGUCGGAUUGUUUGGGAAUGCAGUCCAAAAUGGGUGGUAAAUUUCAUCUAAAGCUAAAUAUUGGCGAGAGACCGAUAGCGAACAAGUACCGUGAGGGAAAGAUGAAAAGAACUUUGAAAAGAGAGUUAAACAGUACGUGAAAUUGUCAAAAGGGAAGCGUUUGACACCAGUGUUGUUUUUCCGAAAAUCAAUUACGAAUGGCUUGAUUUUGUGUUGUAUUGACCUUAUCAGCUUUCUUCACUUUUUUCGAGUCUUUCUUAAUGCACUUUUCGGUUAACAAGUCAACAUCAAUUUCCUUUGUUGUAAAAGAGUAUUCGGAAGGUGGCUUUCUUUUCGGAGAAAGUGUUUAUAGCCCUAUACUUCUACAAUCGGAGAGAUUGAGGUCUGCAGCGUAGAUCCUUCGGGGUUAGAUACACUUUGUGCUAAGUUGUAGCUUUUCAUAGACAACUUGUUGACUAUGUUUAGUCAUGCGGCUUACUCGCUUAUGCUAUUUUACCUACGCUUAGGAUGUUGACUGAUAUGUAGUCGUA
RNAcentral lists this ribosomal RNA (775 nucleotides) under uncultured Neocallimastigales. Its description in RNAcentral is "partial large subunit ribosomal RNA". It matches the Rfam family "Eukaryotic large subunit ribosomal RNA", at positions 24 to 644 of the family's 3401-position model. Lineage: Eukaryota; Fungi; Neocallimastigomycota; Neocallimastigomycetes; Neocallimastigales. The record is from RNAcentral.